UACGGGGGGAGCAAGCGUUGUUCGGAUUUACUGGGCGUAAAGGGCGCGUAGGCGGUCAGCACAGGUCAGUUGUGAAAUCUCCGGGCUUAACUCGGAAAGGUCAACUGAUACUGUGCGACUAGAGUGCAGAAGGGGCAACUGGAAUUCUCGGUGUAGCGGUGAAAUGCGUAGAUAUCGAGAGGAACACCUGCGGCGAAGGCGGGUUGCUGGGCUGACACUGACGCUGAGGCGCGAAAGCCAGGGGAGCGAACGGG
RNAcentral lists this ribosomal RNA (254 nucleotides) under uncultured bacterium. RNAcentral's name for it is "partial 16S ribosomal RNA". It matches the Rfam family "Bacterial small subunit ribosomal RNA", at positions 524 to 776 of the family's 1533-position model. The record is from RNAcentral.